This 465-nucleotide ribosomal RNA is filed under the name Vreelandella stevensii. RNAcentral describes it as "partial 16S ribosomal RNA". It matches the Rfam family "Bacterial small subunit ribosomal RNA", at positions 338 to 795 of the family's 1533-position model. The record is from RNAcentral. Lineage: Bacteria; Pseudomonadati; Pseudomonadota; Gammaproteobacteria; Oceanospirillales; Halomonadaceae.
CCUACGGGUGGCUGCAGUGGGGAAUAUUGGACAAUGGGCGAAAGCCUGAUCCAGCCAUGCCGCGUGUGUGAAGAAGGCCUUCGGGUUGUAAAGCACUUUCAGUGGGGAAGAAAGCCUUGGGGCUAAUACCCUCGAGGAAGGACAUCACCCACAGAAGAAGCACCGGCUAACUCCGUGCCAGCAGCCGCGGUAAUACGGAGGGUGCGAGCGUUAAUCGGAAUUACUGGGCGUAAAGCGCGCGUAGGCGGUCUGAUAAGCCGGUUGUGAAAGCCCCGGGCUCAACCUGGGAACGGCAUCCGGAACUGUCAGGCUAGAGUGCAGGAGAGGAAGGUAGAAUUCCCGGUGUAGCGGUGGAAUGCGUAGAGAUCGGGAGGAAUACCAGUGGCGAAGGCGGCCUUCUGGACUGACACUGACGCUGAGGUGCGAAAGCGUGGGUAGCAAACAGGAUUAGAUACCCGAGUAGUC